UCAGAACGAACGCUGGCGGCAGGCUUAACACAUGCAAGUCGAGCGCCCCGCAAGGGGAGCGGCAGACGGGUGAGUAACGCGUGGGAACGUACCCUUUGCUACGGAAUAGCUCCGGGAAACUGGAAUUAAUACCGUAUGUGCCCUUCGGGGGAAAGAUUUAUCGGCAAAGGAUCGGCCCGCGUUGGAUUAGCUAGUUGGUGGGGUAAAGGCCUACCAAGGCGACGAUCCAUAGCUGGUCUGAGAGGAUGAUCAGCCACAUUGGGACUGAGACACGGCCCAAACUCCUACGGGAGGCAGCAGUGGGGAAUAUUGGACAAUGGGCGCAAGCCUGAUCCAGCCAUGCCGCGUGAGUGAUGAAGGCCCUAGGGUUGUAAAGCUCUUUCACCGGAGAAGAUAAUGACGGUUC
RNAcentral lists this ribosomal RNA (406 nucleotides) under soil bacterium 05G-03. Its description in RNAcentral is "bacterial SSU rRNA". It matches the Rfam family "Bacterial small subunit ribosomal RNA", at positions 24 to 460 of the family's 1533-position model. The record is from RNAcentral.